This 424-nucleotide RNase P RNA is filed under the name Candidatus Omnitrophota bacterium. RNAcentral's name for it is "Candidatus Omnitrophica bacterium RNase P RNA component class A". It matches the Rfam family "Bacterial RNase P class A". From Rfam's summary of the family: Ribonuclease P (RNase P) is a ubiquitous endoribonuclease, found in archaea, bacteria and eukarya as well as chloroplasts and mitochondria. Its best characterised activity is the generation of mature 5'-ends of tRNAs by cleaving the 5'-leader elements of precursor-tRNAs. The record is from RNAcentral. Lineage: Bacteria; Pseudomonadati; Candidatus Omnitrophota.
UUCGCAGGCCGGGCGUUCGCCCCCGCCGCUUUGCUUUGCAAAACGGCGGGGGAGGAAAGUCCGAGCUCCACAGAGCAGCGUAGCGGCUAACGGCCGCCCGUCGAAAGGCGAGGAUAAUCCCUCGGCGCGCACCAAGCUUUACUAAGUGCCGCUCGGGAUCAUUGCCAGUAGAAACUACGGCAAUGAGAGGACAGAGACGAGUCCUGUCGCCGAAAGGCGGCAGGGGUGAGACGACCAAUCUCUACGCGGAGCAAGACCAAAUAGGCUCCGAUCAAGGAUCUGCUCGAUCCUACUGGAAUAGACGUCAGUAUCGGAGCGGGUAAGGUCGCUGGAGCCGCGGAGUGAUCCGCGGCCUAGAUAGAUGAACGCCUCGUCCGGCGCAAGCCGGGCAAGACAGAACUCGGCUUACAGGCCUGCGAAACUU